ACAGUUCUGCCAAUGCGCACUAUGACGCCGCCGGUUUCCAGGCGGGGUCCUGUUUGCCGUCUGUU
Molecule: ribosomal RNA, 65 nt
Filed under: uncultured soil eukaryote
Lineage: Eukaryota
Description: partial 5.8S ribosomal RNA
Source: RNAcentral